Molecule: unclassified non-coding RNA, 200 nt
Filed under: Pleosporales sp.
Lineage: Eukaryota; Fungi; Ascomycota; Dothideomycetes; Pleosporales
Description: partial internal transcribed spacer 2
Source: RNAcentral
UUAAGUUCAGCGGGUAUCCCUACCUGAUCCGAGGUCAAAGACGGGUUGUCGGCUUCGUGGAACGCGGUCCCGCCGCCUCGAGAAGCGCAAUGUGCUGCGCGGGAGGGGCAAGGCGCCGCCGCCAAUGCAUUUGGGGUGAGUCGCCGCGCGGGGCGGGACAGGCACCCAACACCAAGCAGGGCUUGAGGGUGUAGAUGACG